Molecule: small nuclear RNA, 164 nt
Filed under: Echinops telfairi (small Madagascar hedgehog)
Lineage: Eukaryota; Metazoa; Chordata; Mammalia; Afrosoricida; Tenrecidae
Description: U1 spliceosomal RNA (ENSETEG00000021337.1)
Rfam family: U1 spliceosomal RNA
About the family: U1 is a small nuclear RNA (snRNA) component of the spliceosome (involved in pre-mRNA splicing). Its 5' end forms complementary base pairs with the 5' splice junction, thus defining the 5' donor site of an intron. There are significant differences in sequence and secondary structure between metazoan and yeast U1 snRNAs, the latter being much longer (568 nucleotides as compared to 164 nucleotides in human).
Source: RNAcentral
AUACUUACCUGGCAGGGGAGAUACCAUGAUCACGAAGGUGGUUUUCCCAGGGCGAGGCUUAUCCAUUGCACUCCGGAUGUGCUGACCCCUGCGAUUUCCCCAAAUGUGGUAAACUCGACUGCAUAAUUUGUGGUAGUGGGGGACUGCGUUCGCGCUCUCCCCUG